GGAUCUCUCACCUUGGAAGCCAUAAGAGUUAAACAGUGGAUUCUUCAUUCUUCAUUAAUGCUUCUGAACACUGGUAACCAUACAAUUCUGGCCCUUCUGAAGGAACACCAGUGCUAGAGCUCUGCAUACGUUUUCUGUUACCUGCCAUCCACCACACCUACCCUUUGAAGCUCUAAACUGUGACCAGUGCAGCUGUGGUUCUGGAUUAAAGCAGUUGUUCCAUCCCAGAGGCACCUUCCUCAUUCCUGCUCGGAGAGCCGCCAGCAGUCUGGUGCUGCCCGUGGAGAAGGACAGACCCUUGAACUGAGGGCACUGCAGAGAUCAGAGAGCACUGGACAUCAGGUCUGCUUGUCCAGUCUGAUGGAGAGAGAACUCUGAGGGACAGAGAGGCACAUUGCAGUUAAAGGUAGGAGACCACUGUCUUUACUGUGAGGGUACAGAAUUUCA
Long non-coding RNA from Lepisosteus oculatus (spotted gar), 447 nucleotides. NCBI's taxonomy places the organism in Eukaryota, Metazoa, Chordata, Actinopteri, Semionotiformes, Lepisosteidae. The record is from Ensembl.